GAUGAACGCUGGCGGCGUGCUUAACACAUGCAAGUCGAACGGAAAGGCCCAAGCUUGCUUGGGUACUCGAGUGGCGAACGGGUGAGUAACACGUGGGUGAUCUGCCCUGCACUUCGGGAUAAGCCUGGGAAACUGGGUCUAAUACCGGAUAGGGCCACUUCGUAGUUGUUGUGGUGGAAAGGUUUUUCGGUGUGGGAUGAGCUCGCGGCCUAUCAGCUUGUUGGUGGGGUAAUGGCCUACCAAGGCGUCGACGGGUAGCCGGCCUGAGAGGGUGUACGGCCACAUUGGGACUGAGAGACGGCCCAGACUCCUACGGGAGGCAGCAGUGGGGAAUAUUGCACAAUGGGCGGAAGCCUGAUGCAGCGACGCCGCGUGGGGGAUGACGGCCUUCGGGUUGUAAACUCCUUUCGCCAAAGACGAAUUUAGGACGGUAUUUGGAGAAGAAGCACCGGCUAACUACGUG
RNAcentral lists this ribosomal RNA (463 nucleotides) under uncultured bacterium. RNAcentral describes it as "partial 16S ribosomal RNA". It matches the Rfam family "Bacterial small subunit ribosomal RNA", at positions 28 to 507 of the family's 1533-position model. The record is from RNAcentral.